RNAcentral lists this ribosomal RNA (415 nucleotides) under uncultured bacterium. RNAcentral's name for it is "bacterial SSU rRNA". It matches the Rfam family "Bacterial small subunit ribosomal RNA", at positions 355 to 794 of the family's 1533-position model. The record is from RNAcentral.
UGGGGAAUCUUAGACAAUGGGCGCAAGCCUGAUCUAGCCAUGCCGCGUGAGCGAUGAAGGCCUUAGGGUUGUAAAGCUCUUUCGUGGGGGAAGCUGUACCCCAAGAAGAAGCCCCGGCUAACUCCGUGCCAGCAGCCGCGGUAAUACGGAGGGGGCUAGCGUUGUUCGGAAUUACUGGGCGUAAAGCGCACGUAGGCGGACUGGAAAGUCAGGGGUGAAAUCCCGGGGCUCAACCCCGGAACUGCCUUUGAAACUCCCGGUCUUGAGGUCGUGAGAGGUGAGUGGAAUUCCGAGUGUAGAGGUGAAAUUCGUAGAUAUUCGGAGGAACACCAGUGGCGAAGGCGGCUCACUGGCACGAUACUGACGCUGAGGUGCGAAAGCGUGGGGAGCAAACAGGAUUAGAUACCCUUGUAGU